CAAAGGAGCAAUCCGCUGAAAGAUGGGCUCGCGUCCGAUUAGGUAGUUGGUGGGGUAACGGCCCACCAAGCCGACGAUCGGUAGCCGGACUGAGAGGUUGGACGGCCACAUUGGGACUGAGACACGGCCCAGACUCCUACGGGAGGCAGCAGUAAGGGAUAUUGGUCAAUGGGGGAAACCCUGAACCAGCAACGCCGCGUGAGGGAAGACGGUUUUCGGAUUGUAAACCUCUGUCCUCUGUGAAGAUGAUGACGGUAGCAGAGGAGGAAGCUCCGGCUAACUACGUGCCAGCAGCCGCGGUAAUACGUAGGGAGCGAGCGUUGUCCGGACUUACUGGGUGUAAAGGGUGCGUAGGCGGCUUGGCAAGUCAGUAGUGAAAUCCAUGGGCUUAACCCAUGAACUGCUAUUGAAACUGUCGAGCUUGAGUGAAGUAGAGGUAGGCGGAAUUCCCGGUGUAGCGGUGAAAUGCGUAGAGAUCGGGAGGAACACCAGUGGCGAAGGCGGCCUACUGGGCUUUAACUGACGCUGAGGCACGAAAGCGUGGGUAGCAAACAGGAUUAGAUACCCUGGUAGUCCACGCUGUAAACGAUGAUUACUAGGUGUGGGUGGACUGACCCCAUCC
This 622-nucleotide ribosomal RNA is filed under the name uncultured bacterium. RNAcentral describes it as "bacterial SSU rRNA". It matches the Rfam family "Bacterial small subunit ribosomal RNA", at positions 202 to 842 of the family's 1533-position model. The record is from RNAcentral.